CAUGCACCAGUGGGGUCCCUCGGCCUGGCCUGUGGGAUCAGGCCGAAACUGGCUCUCCAAUAUCCUCCAAGGGUUCCCAGAUUACAAGAGGGCACAGGCCAGGCCGAGGGACCCCACCGAUGCACA
Non-coding RNA from Myotis brandtii (Brandt's bat), 126 nucleotides. Lineage: Eukaryota; Metazoa; Chordata; Mammalia; Chiroptera; Vespertilionidae. The record is from Rfam.